GAUGAACGCUGGCGGCGUGCCUAAUACAUGCAAGUCGAGCGAACAGACGAGGAGCUUGCUCCUCUGACGUUAGCCGCGGACGGGUGAGUAACACGUGGAUAACCUACCUAUAAGACUGGGAUAACUUCGGGAAACCGGAGCUAAUACCGGAUAAUAUAUUGAACCGCAUGGUUCAAUAGUGAAAGACGGUUUUGCUGUCACUUAUAGAUGGAUCCGCGCCGCAUUAGCUAGUUGGUAAGGUAACGGCUUACCAAGGCAACGAUGCGUAGCCGACCUGAGAGGGUGAUCGGCCACACUGGAACUGAGACACGGUCCAGACUCCUACGGGAGGCAGCAGUAGGGAAUCUUCCACAAUGGGCGAAAGCCUGACGGAGCAACGCCGCGUGAGUGAUGAAGGUCUUCGGAUCGUAAAACUCUGUUAUUAGGGAAGAACAAAUGUGUAAGUAACUAUGCACGUCUUGACGGUACCUAAUCAGAAAGCCACGGCUAACUACGUG
Molecule: ribosomal RNA, 497 nt
Filed under: uncultured bacterium
Lineage: Bacteria
Description: partial 16S ribosomal RNA
Rfam family: Bacterial small subunit ribosomal RNA
Source: RNAcentral